This 2165-nucleotide long non-coding RNA is filed under the name Coffea arabica (coffee). Its description in RNAcentral is "long non-coding RNA (CARA_LNC006541)". The record is from RNAcentral. Lineage: Eukaryota; Viridiplantae; Streptophyta; Magnoliopsida; Gentianales; Rubiaceae.
UUUUUUUUUUUUUGUAAAAUAUCAUAAUUUUAUUAAAAUCUGCACUAAUGGCAGAAAUUACAUCAUCAAACAUAUACAAAUAUCAAAGAACAGAUCUGAAAAAAGGAUACUCCAGAUCUGAAGAACAAUAACAGUUAUAUUAUAAAGUUCCUAAUUUAAAAAAUGAGAUAAAAUAAUUGUAACUCCACAGACAUCUCUGUAUAUGCUUCCAAUCGUCAGAUCUGCUGAUUAACUUCUUCAAGUCUAGAUAUUAUGAUGAGAUCUAACGAAUAGAUCCAAGAAAUUCUAGAUCUGGCAAUUGAAAUCUGAAGAAACUCAGAUUUAAUAAAAAAAAGUUAAAAAAUUAUCAAAGUGAAAAAUGGUGACAGUUACACCUAGUCAUAUUAUAUUUCUUCGUUUGGUUGUGGUAUUGGGCUUUAUUCCCUAUACCCUAUGUCAUGGAUUUCAAACUCAGACUAGAUUGGGCGGUUGAAAUGAUUGAAUUGUCAACCAGUCAUCUGUUUGGUCCGGUUAGGCACCCUAGCCGGGAGGAUGGAACCAAAAAGAAUCAUUGACCCAUUAGUUCAAGCGCUAAACUACAAUGAAUCGGGACAAUUUGAGAUCAUCAGUUGUCUCUUUACUCUUGCUGUAUUUGAUGUCACAACUUUCAAAUUUAGUCAAAUUUCCACCAUUAAAUGAUAAUCUAUAUUAAAUGGCAGCCAAUUACCACUGCAUAUUAUCUUCAAUCGUCUCACAAAAAAUAUUUAUACAUUUAUUACUCGUAUACUUUCUUUUUAUACUCUUUUUAACCCUUCAAGAAACAAAAGUUAUUUAUAUAGUACAUUUUACCAAUGUCUCUAAUUUUUGUUAAAAAAAAUAGAGGUAGUCUUAUAUAUACUGAUAAUGUAUGUACUAUCAUGAUUGAAUGCAUGAUACAUAUGUAAAAUUUGAAUUUCAAAAUUCAAAUUCAAAUUUUGUGGUCCAUGUUCUUUUUGAAUUGUUAGUAUUUUCUUCUUUUUUGCUAUUUUUUAUUUUCAUUUAAUCAUUUUUCAUAGUUUAAAUAUUUAAUUUAUAUUAUUAGUAUUUUUUUGAAUAAUUGUGACAUCACAAGUCAAUAACGACUGGUUUAACGAUCGAAUCACUAACCAUUAACCUUUUUGAGUCAAUGAACAGGUAUGGAUUUCAAAACGUUGCUAUACGUGUAGAAUACAAUCUUUCAUCAUCAAUAGAAAUCCAAUCUCUUGCCUAAAAACAAUACAACAAAACACACUACCAAGAAGGCUCGUAUUCAAAUUUUCCUUUCCCAUCUUCACUUUUUAAAUCCCUCCCCUCACUUCUUAAAUCCCUAAAAAAUGGUGAAAAAAAUCAAUCACAAAAGUACACUAGUAAACUAAGAUUGCGAAAGAAGGAUUGGCCAUUUUUUCAAAAACAAGUUUUUCAAAUACAAUCCUACAAUAAUACACAAAUAAAAUUAACUCAAAAAACAUCUCAUCCAUACAAUAUACCAAAUGUUUCAAAAAAAUUUUAUAGUAAAAAUUUUUCAUAUACACUACUACAGUAAAAUUUUUCAAAAACAGCUCCAUAAAAUUUUUCAAAAACAACUCCAUAAACAGUUAAUCCAAACGAAACAAAUAUAACCAGCAACAUGUAUACUUUUGUCUAGAGAAAAGACACUGUUUCGUCAAAGUUUCAACUACCAUGCAAGAGAGAACAGUCGUUUCAGUGGAAGUAGCAAUAUUUAGUUUGCCUACUUUAUUCAAAAUGAACUAUUUCUGAACUUUUUUAUGGUGAUAAUUUCAUAAUUUGAGUUGCAUAACGAAUUAUCAAAGGACUCCUUGCACCUUUUCCUCUCCCAGUUGUACCAUGGUUCUGGUUUUAUACACCAGUUGUUGUUCAACAUAGAAAUUAUGAACCUAAACUUUCUUUACUUAAACAGCCUAAAGAGUUGCAUUAUGAAAUGUCUCCAUCCAAAGGUUCACAAAAAGUGGUUCCUAUGUUGAAUUAUUCUCAGGAAAGAUCAUCUUCUAGCACAUACAUAAAAAAAAGGGCAUCUGUCAAAUAAAACAGGAAAAAGAAGUAAACAACAACUAUGGAUUGCUAGCCCUCAAAUUUUCUAUUGCAUGCCCAUCGCACAAAUUUAAGAAUGAUGACAAAACCCCGAUAGACAAAUCUGAUGGCAAUGAUUU